This 274-nucleotide ribosomal RNA is filed under the name uncultured bacterium. RNAcentral's name for it is "partial 16S ribosomal RNA". It matches the Rfam family "Bacterial small subunit ribosomal RNA", at positions 523 to 796 of the family's 1533-position model. The record is from RNAcentral.
AUACGUAGGGUGCAAGCGUUGUUGGGAAUCACUGGGCGUAAAGGGCGUGUAGGCGGAGAAGUAAGCCAGAGGUGAAAGCCCGGGGCUCAACCCCGGAGGGUCUUUUGGAACUGCUUUUCUUGAGAGGGUUAGAGGUUAGCGGAAUUCCUGGUGUAGCGGUGAAAUGCGUAGAUAUCAGGAGGAACACCGGAGGCGAAAGCGGCUAACUGGGGCCAAUCUGACGCUGAGGCGCGAAAGCAUGGGGAGCAAACGGGAUUAGAAACCCCGGUAGUCC